Molecule: long non-coding RNA, 326 nt
Filed under: Bos taurus (domestic cattle)
Lineage: Eukaryota; Metazoa; Chordata; Mammalia; Artiodactyla; Bovidae
Description: long non-coding RNA NONBTAT009388
Source: RNAcentral
AUCCAAGUGGAGAGGGAUUUAUUAUGAUUUGAUUGAUUAUUUUUAUGUUAUCUCAGUCACUUAGACCUUAUUUCUACUCUUCAGGAUAGGAAAAAAAUUAUAGAGACAAGAUCAUCUUCUUGUUGACAUACAGUAAAAUAGCCUUCCUAGACUUGAGAUUCAGGUUUAGUCUCAGGCACUAUAUAUCACCCAAUCAGCACAGCCACUCUUAGUGGGACAGGCUAAAAAGGCACAUAAGGUGGUCGUUAUGAGUGUAAGGGAAAUUUAAAUUUUUUCUGUUGACUCCAAAACUAUGUAAAGGAUGGGACAGAAAAAAAGUGAGAUAU